RNAcentral lists this ribosomal RNA (427 nucleotides) under uncultured bacterium. RNAcentral's name for it is "bacterial SSU rRNA". It matches the Rfam family "Bacterial small subunit ribosomal RNA", at positions 355 to 799 of the family's 1533-position model. The record is from RNAcentral.
UGGGGAAUAUUGGACAAUGGGCGAAAGCCUGAUCCAGCCAUGCCGCGUGAGUGACGAAGGCCUUAGGGUUGUAAAACUCUUUCGUCGGGGACGAUAAUGACGGUACCCGAAGAAGAAGCUCCGGCUAACUUCGUGCCAGCAGCCGCGGUAAUACGAAGGGAGCUAGCGUUGUUCGGAAUCACUGGGCGUAAAGCGCACGUAGGCGGAUAGUUAAGUCAGGGGUGAAAUCCUGGGGCUCAACCCCAGAACUGCCUUUGAUACUGGCUGUCUCGAGGUCGAGAGAGGUUGGUGGAAUUCCUAGUGUAGAGGUGAAAUUCGUAGAUAUUAGGAAGAACACCAGUGGCGAAGGCGGCCAACUGGCUCGAUACUGACGCUGAGGUGCGAAAGCGUGGGGAGCAAACAGGAUUAGAUACCCCAGUAGUCCCUG